RNAcentral lists this long non-coding RNA (532 nucleotides) under Nicotiana tabacum (common tobacco). RNAcentral's name for it is "long non-coding RNA (NTAB_LNC015054)". Lineage: Eukaryota; Viridiplantae; Streptophyta; Magnoliopsida; Solanales; Solanaceae. The record is from RNAcentral.
CAAAACUUACGGCAGCUCUCUCGCCGGUUUACGAGUAAUUUUCCUAUUUUUAGCCUUAAUUCUCAAUUAAUACUACUUCAGUACUUUUUCUUAAUUGAUACUUCAAUAGUUUGCAAUUAAUCAAUUCUAGAUCAUUCGAUUAAUUGUUUUCUUCAAUCUAUUUUGCUUUUAAUGUAGGCAUUAGGCUAUGAUAUUGAUGCUGAUGAUUAUCAUAGGUGAGAUAUGUUCAGAAAAACUGCAUAGUUUGACUCCCUAAUUCCUCAAUUUUGAAUGAUUUUGUUUUUGAAAAAAGCGAUUAUUUUUUCUGAAAUUUUUCUUUUGUUCCUCCUGAACAGCUAUGUGCACGGAAGAUUGCCGUAUGAAUUGAUUAAACCGGAUGCUCAAUUAAGAAGCAUCUUGUGUAGUAUUAAUCAAAGGAGAAUUGUAAGUUAUAGAAAUGGAUUCAAAUUGCGACCUAUUGAUGAGGGAUGAUGAUUGAUUAGUAAUAUGUUAUGAAGGACUUUGUGAUUGAUGUGCAGAUUUUCACGAAUUC